CCCUUAGAUGUUCUGGGCCGCACGCGCGCUACACUGAUGCAUUCAACGAGUCUAAAACCUGCUCUGAUAGGGGUGGGUAAUCUUUUGAAUGUGCAUCGUGAUUGGGAUAGAUGAUUGCAAUUUUUCAUCUUCAACGAGUAAUGCCUAAUAAACGCAAGUCAUCAGCUUGCAUUGAUUACGUCCCUGCCCUUUGUACACACCGCCCGUCGCUCCUACCGAUUGAAUGAUCCGAUGAAUAUCAUGGAUUGAGGAUGCAAGUAGGUUCGCCUAUCUUCAUCUUCGAGAAGUGAAGUAAAUCUUAUCAUUUAGAGGAAGGAGAAGUCGUAACA
RNAcentral lists this ribosomal RNA (329 nucleotides) under uncultured eukaryote. RNAcentral's name for it is "partial 18S ribosomal RNA". It matches the Rfam family "Eukaryotic small subunit ribosomal RNA", at positions 1470 to 1796 of the family's 1831-position model. The record is from RNAcentral.